CCGGCCUGAGAGGGCGACCGGCCACACUGGGACUGAGACACGGCCCAGACUCCUACGGGAGGCAGCAGUGGGGAAUAUUGCACAAUGGGCGGAAGCCUGAUGCAGCGACGCCGCGUGAGGGAUGACGGCCUUCGGGUUGUAAACCUCUUUCAGCAGGGACGAAGCGUGAGUGACGGUACCUGCAGAAGAAGCGCCGGCCAACUACGUGCCAGCAGCCGCGGUAAGACGUAGGGCGCGAGCGUUGUCCGGAUUUAUUGGGCGUAAAGAGCUCGUAGGCGGCUUGUCGCGUCGACUGUGAAAACCCGUGGCUCAACUGCGGGCCUGCAGUCGAUACGGGCAGGCUAGAG
This 347-nucleotide ribosomal RNA is filed under the name Verrucosispora sp. enrichment culture clone SEQ33_6FClone_AER. RNAcentral describes it as "bacterial SSU rRNA". It matches the Rfam family "Bacterial small subunit ribosomal RNA", at positions 287 to 646 of the family's 1533-position model. Lineage: Bacteria; Bacillati; Actinomycetota; Actinomycetes; Micromonosporales; Micromonosporaceae. The record is from RNAcentral.